GCCGUGGUCACCCUGGACUCCGGUUUCUGUGAACUAGUGAAGUUCCUGUGUUGGACCCAAUUUCAAGCUAAAAGCCCCCACUCACUCACUGUAGGACUUCCUUUCGGGAGGGGCCAUUUAUGGUGACUUCAGUGGCGCGUAAACUUUGUGAGGACUGAGCAUUUUCUCCGAUUUGUUCAUUGCUAUGUCCCCAGUGCUCAGAACACUUGGCACAGAGUGGCAAGGAUGAUCUAAAAGUAGCUCUGAGAGGACUCACUGGAAAUGUCUAUAAUCCCAGCACUAGGGGUCAACAUGCCAGCCUGUGCUCAGAAAGCCAACCAAAUAAUAAAACAAAACGUGAGAGGAUAGUUUAAAAGAGACACUUAGGAUAUCAGAUCAUUGAAGCACUGGAUCCCAUAGCCUUGAAUUUUCUCCGGGAAUCUCAUCUGGGGAAAAGAAAAUGCUGAAGUCCUAUUGCCAGUCCAAGGAGGGACUCCCCUCCCUGACAGAUGUCACACGUUCCUGACAGCUUACUGGAGCCGAGACAAUGGUCAGUAGAUGGUGAGUGGAACACAUGUGUCCAGGACUGCCCAGCUGGGGAUGCCUCUGCUCUUCUGCUUAAAUCCAGACCUCACACCAGUGUCCUGACGAUGGACAUGUCUUGGGCUGUCAUGGGGCUCUUUAUUUGUUCCUUUUCUAAUAUGGCCACAUUGAAUAAAUCUCCUUUCUCUGUUUUUCACUAUUA
This is a long non-coding RNA of Arvicola amphibius (Eurasian water vole), 724 nucleotides long. RefSeq lists it as uncharacterized. The transcript has 3 exons. NCBI's taxonomy places the organism in Eukaryota, Metazoa, Chordata, Mammalia, Rodentia, Cricetidae. The record is from RefSeq and is a predicted model, not a curated record.